RNAcentral lists this transfer RNA (87 nucleotides) under Anaerolineae bacterium. Its description in RNAcentral is "tRNA-Ser". It matches the Rfam family "tRNA". Rfam says of the family: Transfer RNA (tRNA) molecules are approximately 80 nucleotides in length. Their secondary structure includes four short double-helical elements and three loops (D, anti-codon, and T loops). Lineage: Bacteria; Bacillati; Chloroflexota; Anaerolineae. The record is from RNAcentral.
GGAGGGAUGGCCGAGUGGACUAAGGCGGUUGUCUUGAAAACAACUGUGGGUUUAUUCCCACCGGGGGUUCGAAUCCCUCUCCCUCCG